GUGUUUGGUUAGGCUGCGUAUGUGCUAAAAUUGGAAUAAUACAGAAAAGAUUAGCAUGGCUCUUGGGUGAGGAGGAUGGUAGGAAUGUCCACUAUUGGAUUUAAAACUCAUU
RNAcentral lists this small nuclear RNA (112 nucleotides) under Chinchilla lanigera (long-tailed chinchilla). The record is from RNAcentral. Lineage: Eukaryota; Metazoa; Chordata; Mammalia; Rodentia; Chinchillidae.